CGGCGGCGGGCGGGGCCGGGCGGGGCCGGGCGGCGGCGGCGGGCGGAGUGACGCGCCCCGGCCCCGCCCCGCUCACCUCCCGCCCCGCCCCUGCCGCCGCUCCCGCCUGGCAGCCGCGGCGCCCGGCAGCGCCUCUCCUGCGUGCGCUCCCUCCGCUUGGUACGGCCCACCCCGCCGGGGAUCAUGGCGAUUGAUGGUGGAGAACGAACUUGUGGUGUACAUGAACUGAUCUGCAUCAGAAAAGGUAAGCAAUAAUUUGUGACAGUGAACUCCUUAGCUUGUGAAUAUUCCUGGUGAGAAAUCU
This 304-nucleotide long non-coding RNA is filed under the name Junco hyemalis (dark-eyed junco). Its description in RNAcentral is "lncRNA (ENSJHYG00000009758.1)". Lineage: Eukaryota; Metazoa; Chordata; Aves; Passeriformes; Passerellidae. The record is from RNAcentral.